AUUGAACGCUGGCGGCAGGCUCAACACAUGCAAGUCGAGCGGGGUGAUGGUGCUUGCACUAUCACUUAGCGGCGGACGGGUGAGUAAUGCUUAGGAAUCUGCCUAUUAGUGGGGGACAACAUCUCGAAAGGGAUGCUAAUACCGCAUACGUCCUACGGGAGAAAGCAGGGGAUCACUUGUGACAUUGCGCUAAUAGAUGAGCCUAAGUCGGAUUAGCUAGUGGGUGGGGUAAAGGCCUACCAAGGCGACGAUCUGGAGCGGGUCUGAGAGGAUGAUCCGCCACACUGGGACUGAGACACGGCCCAGACUCCUACGGGAGGCAGCAGUGGGGAAUAUUGGAAAAUGGGGGGAACCCUGAUCCAGCCAUGCCGCGUGUGUGAAGAAGGCCUUAUGGUUGUAAAGCACUUUAAGCGAGGAGGAGGCUCUUUUGGUUAAUACCCAAGAUGAGUGGACGUUACUCGCAGAAUAAGCACCGGCUAACUCUGUGCCAGCCGCCGCAGUAA
This 503-nucleotide ribosomal RNA is filed under the name uncultured bacterium. Its description in RNAcentral is "partial 16S ribosomal RNA". It matches the Rfam family "Bacterial small subunit ribosomal RNA", at positions 30 to 523 of the family's 1533-position model. The record is from RNAcentral.